RNAcentral lists this ribosomal RNA (443 nucleotides) under uncultured Eubacteriales bacterium. RNAcentral's name for it is "bacterial SSU rRNA". It matches the Rfam family "Bacterial small subunit ribosomal RNA", at positions 62 to 507 of the family's 1533-position model. The record is from RNAcentral. Lineage: Bacteria; Bacillati; Bacillota; Clostridia; Eubacteriales.
UUAACUUACACUUCUUUUAGUUAUUGUAGAGGCGGUUAGGUUGGCGGGAACGUGGUGAGUAACGACGUAAGGAACCUAGCCUUUUACGUAGGGAAGUAACAAUGAGAAUACAUUGCUAAUACCGCAUAUGCCAUAGUUAUCACAUGAUAAUAGUGGGAAAGGAGCAAUUCGCUAAAAGAUGGCCUUGCGUCUGAUUAGAUAGUUGGUAAGGUAACGGCUUACCAAGUCGACGAUCAGUAGCCGGACUGAGAGGUUGAACGGCCACAUUGGGACUGAGAUACGGCCCAGACUCCUACGGGAGGCAGCAGUCGGGAAUAUUGCGCAAUGGAGGAAACUCUGACGCAGUGACGCCGCGUAUAGGAAGAAGUUUUCGGAAUGUAAACUAUUGUCGUUAGGGAGGAGAAAGGACAGUACCUAAGGAGGAAGCUCCGGCUAACUACGUG